Long non-coding RNA from Syngnathus acus (greater pipefish), 192 nucleotides. RefSeq lists it as uncharacterized. NCBI's taxonomy places the organism in Eukaryota, Metazoa, Chordata, Actinopteri, Syngnathiformes, Syngnathidae. The record is from RefSeq and is a predicted model, not a curated record. The transcript has 3 exons.
CCGAGAGAACGUUUUGAAUUCAUUGCAGAAUUUGUGGAGAAGGUUUGCAGAUUCAGCGCAACCCAAAGUUGUUCAUUAUCCUGGGACAACAUAAAUAAUGGAAUCAACUUGACUUUGGAAAUAGCAAAGGUGUUGUUGUUGCUGGUUUACAAUGACAUGAUGAGUGAACGGUGCACCCUUAAAACAUUGGAC